AAAAAAACAGUAGGUUGCAAUUCUAAAAAUGUAAAAGUACCUUGGCUUAUAAGGUUUAAGAG
RNAcentral lists this transfer RNA (62 nucleotides) under Palaemon capensis. RNAcentral's name for it is "tRNA-Cys". Lineage: Eukaryota; Metazoa; Arthropoda; Malacostraca; Decapoda; Palaemonidae. The record is from RNAcentral.